GAUGAACGCUGGCGGCGUGCCUAAUACAUGCAAGUCGAGCGAACGGACGAGAAGCUUGCUUCUCUGAUGUUAGCGGCGGACGGGUGAGUAACACGUGUAUAACCUACCUAUAAGACUGGGAUAACUUCGGGAAACCGGAGCUAAUACCGGAUGAUAUUUUGAACCGCAUGGUUCAAAAGUGAAAGACGGUCUUGCUGUCACUUAUAGAUGGAUCCGCGCUGCAUUAGCUAGUUGGUAAGGUAACGGCUUACCAAGGCAACGAUGCAUAGCCGACCUGAGAGGGUGAUCGGCCACACUGGAACUGAGACACGGUCCAGACUCCUACGGGAGGCAGCAGUAGGGAAUCUUCCGCAAUGGGCGAAAGCCUGACGGAGCAACGCCGCGUGAGUGAUGAAGGUCUUCGGAUCGUAAAACUCUGUUAUUAGGGAAGAACAUAUGUGUAAGUAACUGUUCACAUCUUGACGGUACCUAAUCAGAAAGCCACGGCUAACUACGUG
RNAcentral lists this ribosomal RNA (497 nucleotides) under uncultured bacterium. RNAcentral's name for it is "partial 16S ribosomal RNA". It matches the Rfam family "Bacterial small subunit ribosomal RNA", at positions 28 to 507 of the family's 1533-position model. The record is from RNAcentral.